RNAcentral lists this unclassified non-coding RNA (452 nucleotides) under Hevea brasiliensis (rubber tree). Lineage: Eukaryota; Viridiplantae; Streptophyta; Magnoliopsida; Malpighiales; Euphorbiaceae. The record is from RNAcentral.
GGUGAUGGCCAUAAUGCCAAUCUCAAAUUUGGAUCAUAAGAAAGGAUGCUGCCAGAGCUUUUGGCAAUCCUCAUUGCAGCAAGAUGAGCUGACCUGCAUGGUUCCGCAAUCAAACUAAUAGAACCAUAAUGAAAGAUCCUUGCCUGCUUGAGGAGAUUCAUAUCUAGUUCUGACUCAUGAAGAAGCAUGUCUGCACUGGGAUGACGAAAAAAUAAGAAUUCACGUUCACCAUCAGCUCUGAGAGUAACAAAUGCUAGUGCAGUCCUUGCGCUGGGAUCAAAUCGUACACCAGAAUGAUUGACAUUGUUUUGUUUUAAAAUGUCAGCCAACAUAUAGCCAAAAUCAUCAUCACCUAGCUUGCCUAUAAAAGCUGAUGAACCACCUAGUCUUGAUAUGCAAACAGCCACAUUAGCAGGUGCACCCCCAGGAGCCUUCUUGAAAGCAGGUGCUUC